GCUCGACGAGGCCCGUCGAGAACGUCUUCAUGCUGAGCGCACGGCGCUUGAGCCGCACGUCGCUCACGAAAUCGUCGGUCGCGUUCGGCUGCAGCGACCAGUACAGCGUCAGCAGC
Molecule: ribosomal RNA, 116 nt
Filed under: Burkholderia mallei FMH
Lineage: Bacteria; Pseudomonadati; Pseudomonadota; Betaproteobacteria; Burkholderiales; Burkholderiaceae
Source: RNAcentral